This 301-nucleotide ribosomal RNA is filed under the name uncultured bacterium. Its description in RNAcentral is "partial 16S ribosomal RNA". It matches the Rfam family "Bacterial small subunit ribosomal RNA", at positions 509 to 807 of the family's 1533-position model. The record is from RNAcentral.
CAGCCGCCGCGGGAAUACGAAGGGUGCAAGCGUUAAUCGGAAUUACUGGGCGUAAAGCGUGCGUAGGCGGUUUGUUAAGUCUGUUGUGAAAUCCCCGGGCUCAACCUGGGAAUGGCAAUGGAUACUGGCAAGCUAGAGUGUGUCAGAGGAUGGUGGAAUUCCCGGAGUAGCGGUGAAAUGCGUAGAGAUCGGGAGGAACAUCAGUGGCGAAGGCGGCCAUCUGGGACAACACUGACGCUGAGGCACGAAAGCGUGGGGAGCAAACAGGAUUAGAUACCCGUGUAGUCCCUGUCUCUUAUAC